This is a long non-coding RNA of Acipenser ruthenus (sterlet), 946 nucleotides long. RefSeq lists it as uncharacterized. Lineage: Eukaryota; Metazoa; Chordata; Actinopteri; Acipenseriformes; Acipenseridae. The transcript is spliced from 4 exons. The record is from RefSeq and is a predicted model, not a curated record.
AGCAUUGUCGUGCCGGUAGCAGAAUAUUGGUAUAAUGCCACUUGAUGUGUCUAAAAGCUGUCUCUAGCGUCUGACCUGCUUGGAUUGUGUUUAGCUGUUGCAGUAGACAGGAAGAAAAUAGCGAUUUUGCGCAUUUUAGCAGCUGUUAACCAGUUCCCUUGCAAAGUGAGGGUGCGUGGAGAGGCUGUAGGAGAAAAUCCGAACCUAGCAGCGCUCUGGGAGACGCCAACUACUAGACAGUGAGAGCAGUGCAGGGAACCAGUAUCAAGGCACACUAAUACAGAAACUGCAAUAGAAAAAAAUAUAUACAGAACAAAUACCAAGGCAUAUCAAAUGGAAGGGCUUGGUUUGCAGAUUGGACAAUGGAGGAUAGCAUAGAGAAAGAGGGAGAGAAAAAUAAAAAGUGGAAAUCAAAGAGAGGAGAUGCAGUUUCUUAGGAUGAAAAGGGACUAGAUUUGCAGCAGUAAACAGCAAGAAAAUCGAAUCACAGAAUUUGAUACUCAAAUGUUACUGUGUAAUGUAAUAACUACACUUGUGUAGAAAUUAAAUUACAAAGAAAAUACGAUAAUUUUCUCUAUCUCUCUCUCUCUCUCUCUCUCUCUCUCUCUCUCUCUCUCACACACACAAAGUUUUUGAAAGUAAAAUAUUCCACAUUGACUAUCACCAUGAGUCUCGGCAUUCACUUUCAAUAUGAUAUUAGCUCAAACAUUGCCAAAGUGAAAAUAAAAGACACUGAACUACCCGGUAGCAAUGUUUCCAUACUGGCCAGCACUUCCUCCAUUAUGUUUGUGCGGUAAGGCAAAUAUAAUAGAAUUAAAAAGCAAGUAUAUUCCUCUCGCACAGUAUAUUGUCGAUUAGGCCUUACUUUUAAACAAAACUGAAAAAAAUGGCCCAUUCGCCGACUGUCUCACAUCAAGACGCACUAACACGUACCUGCAAGUUGGCA